UGUCACUCUUAACUUAAAAUAACAAGACAAAUGUCACAGGCCAUUUUGAAAGUUUUUCUCCAGUAAGAACUAAUAACUCUAGAUAACAAAAAAAUUCUAAGAUUGUGGAAAAAAAAAAAAAAAAAAAGUUUUGUGAGCUAAUAGUUAAGUGAUAUAGUAAGAGGGACCAUGCACACUUCCUCUCCUUACUUUUCAGACUUGUAUAUUCUGAUACUCUAAUUAUGGAAGAAACACCACCAUAUAUUACAUUGUGUAGGACAGUACCCCAGCUUCACUGGAUUGUUUUAGAAGAAAACAAAAAUAGAAAAAGUGAAAUAUUUUGCAAUGUUUGGGUACUUCAGAUAUUUCACUGUAUAAAAAAUACAGAAGAAAUUAUUUGGAAUAUUUUCAAUUGAGAAUUCUUCUUCUUUGAUCUUUCACACUAUCAACUAAUUCCAUAAUCAAAUGGUGAAUUUCAGCACUUAGAAGUACUAUCCAGAUAUAUGACUGUUUUCAGAGAGACAGAUCGCCAAACAUAAAGUACAGCAUUUAGCAAUUUACAGCAUUAUUUAUUCUUAUGUAAAAUGGAGUUAUUGAUUCUUAUAUCUAUUAAUAAAUCAGUUUUAUAGUCAUGCAAUCAAGGUUCAGUGAGUUUCUAAUUCAGAAUUGCAGAUACAUUAGACGUGAAAUAUGUUUAAAUUUAAACAAACAGCCCUAGUCGAAACUUGCAUUGCUACCUUCUAUUAAUCUAGAGAUAAAAUUUUCCCUUCUACUAUACAGUACAACCUAUGAUUCUGAACCCCAUAGUACCCACAUCAAGAGAAUAAGCAUAUUUUGAAUAUAUCUACUUUACUACAAAAGAAGUUUUCUAUUUCCUAUACAUGAUUUUCAAUAUUUCUUUUGCUAGACAUUAAUUUAAUACCUGUAUUCUAAUUGUUUAUCUAUGUAUUUCUAAAGAGUUAAACUAUGGAAAGCCCUGCCAAGAGCUGCCACCAUCAGUUACUUCUAGGCUUGUAAAUUAUUGCUUAUGUAAGCUUGCAGACAGAUCAUCUUUAUAGAAUCCUGAUACAAGUGUGUACAUGGGAUGCUUAGUCAUUAUUAUGUAACCAUUGAGCAAUGUAGCAAGAUAAUGCUGAUGGCAUAAUAAAUCCUAUUUAGAAUCCAAAAAUGAGAUCCAGUAUUCUGACUUGAUAAAUGGGAUUUUUUAAAACAAAUGAGGUUAUUUUGCUGGAGUUUCAUGGUGACAUAAUCGGGGUAUAAGAGGGUACUUGCUAAACUCCUAUUCUUUGCUUCCUACAGCCUAGCAAGAUGUUACUCUGGGAGGCAGAAUUUCAUUACCACCAACCCCAGCACAUCUCUAUUUAGGAAGCCAGAGAAACAUGACUCCCUCCAUACCGAGCACCCCUCCACCUCCAGGUUAAUGUCCGCUAGUAUCUUUUACUAGAAAAUAAUUCAUUUAAGCAUACUUUAGUAAACUAGUUUCUCUUACAUUGAUGUGUCCUUGUUACCAAAUAUUAAACCCAGCCCUUGGUAGAACAAAUUUACUAUCACACUCUGAUGCAAAUAGUAGAAACUCAGUGAAAGGUUAUUAAGAAAGUGAAGGAUACAUAAUUAUUAUGCCCUUGAAAGGAUCUUCUUGAUAUCCACGGAAAAUUCACUAGCUUUAUAAGUGUGUCUCGUUUUCAAGUAUUUCCUACCAGAAUACAUUUAGCACACCAUUCUCUGGUUAUUCUUCUUUAAACGAUACAUCUCCUAUGGCACCAUCUCGUCCACAACUUUGAUGACUUUGUUGAGGAGAACAACCCUACUAUUGUGUAUUGAAU
Molecule: long non-coding RNA, 1802 nt
Filed under: Papio anubis (olive baboon)
Lineage: Eukaryota; Metazoa; Chordata; Mammalia; Primates; Cercopithecidae
Description: lncRNA (ENSPANG00000046159.1)
Source: RNAcentral